RNAcentral lists this ribosomal RNA (810 nucleotides) under uncultured bacterium. RNAcentral describes it as "bacterial SSU rRNA". It matches the Rfam family "Bacterial small subunit ribosomal RNA", at positions 8 to 809 of the family's 1533-position model. The record is from RNAcentral.
AGAGUUUGAUCCUGGCUCAGGAUGAACGCUAGCGAUAGGCCUAACACAUGCAAGUCGAGGGGCAGCACAUGAGUAGCAAUACGAUGGUGGCGACCGGCGCACGGGUGAGUAACACGUAUGCAACCUACCUUUAACAGGGGAAUAACCCGUUGAAAAACGGACUAAUACUCCAUAACACAGGGGUCCCGCAUGGGAAUAUUUGUUAAAGAUUUAUCGGUUGAAGAUGGGCAUGCGUUCCAUUAGCUUGUUGGUGAGGUAACGGCUCACCAAGGCUACGAUGGAUAGGGGAACUGAGAGGUUUAUCCCCCACACUGGAACUGAGACACGGUCCAGACUCCUACGGGAGGCAGCAGUGAGGAAUAUUGGUCAAUGGAGGCAACUCUGAACCAGCCAAGUCGCGUGAAGGAUGAAGGUCUUAUGGAUUGUAAACUUCUUUUGCAAGGGAAUAAAGUGGGGGACGUGUCCUCCUUUGCAUGUACCUUGCGAAUAAGGAUCGGCUAACUCCGUGCCAGCAGCCGCGGUAAUACGGAGGAUCCGAGCGUUAUCCGGAUUUAUUGGGUUUAAAGGGUGCGCAGGCGGGAUGUUAAGUAGGCGGUGAAAUUUUGCAGCUCAACUGUAAAAGUGCCUUCGAUACUGGCUUUCUUGAGUGUGGAUGAAGUAGGCGGAAUUUGUGGUGUAGCGGUGAAAUGCUUAGAUAUCACGAGGAACUCCGAUUGCGCAGGCAGCUUACUAAACCACUACUGACGCUCAUGCACGAAGGCGUGGGGAUCAAACAGGAUUAGAUACCCUGGUAGUCCACGCAGUAAACGA